Molecule: long non-coding RNA, 821 nt
Filed under: Medicago truncatula (barrel medic)
Lineage: Eukaryota; Viridiplantae; Streptophyta; Magnoliopsida; Fabales; Fabaceae
Description: long non-coding RNA (MTRU_LNC007736)
Source: RNAcentral
GUGGAGGAGGAGAGGAAUAUUUGUAUGGCUUCUUUGGUGGUGGUGGGGAAUGGUAGUAAGGUUUAGGGCUUAACAUGCACUGGUGGUGGAGGAGAAGAAUAUUUGUAUGGUUUCUUUGGGGGUGGUGGAGAAUGGUAGUAAGGUUUAGGGUGGACAUAUGGUGGAGGAGGAGAAGAAUACUUGUAAGGUUUCUUUGGUGGUGGUGGUGGUGAACUGUAAUGGUAGGGAGGAGGAGGUGUAUAAACGGUGGGGGUGGAGAGUGGUAGUAGUAUGGUUUCUUAGGUGGUGAGUACACUGGUGGUGGUGGUGAAGAGUAAUGGUAAGGUGGUUUAACUGGAGGGUACACCCCCGGUGGUGGGGAAUGUGGAGGGUACACCUUAGGUGGUGGUGGAGAACUAUAAUGGUAAGGUGGUGAGACUGGUGGAUACACCUCAGGUGGUGGUGAAUGUGGAGGGUAUUUCUUAGGUGGUGGUGGGGAAGAGUAAUGGUAAGGUGGUUUAACUGGUGGGUACACCUUGGGUGGUGGUGAAUGUGGAGGGUACACCUUAGGAGGUGGUGGUGAAGAGUAAUGGUAAGGUGGUGAAACUGGAGGAUACACCUUAGGUGGUGGUGAAUGAGGAGGAUACUUCUUAGGUGGUGGUGGUGAAGAGUAAUGGUAAGGUGGUGAAACUGGAGGGUACACCUUAGGUGGUGGUGAAUGUGGAGGGUACACCUUAGGUGGUGGUGGUGAAGGGUAGUGGUAAGGUGGGGAAACUGGAGGGUAGACCUUAGAAGGUGGAGGAGGUGAAGAAUACAAGUAGCUGUUUGCUGAAAUUUGAGAU